Molecule: unclassified non-coding RNA, 375 nt
Filed under: uncultured fungus
Lineage: Eukaryota; Fungi
Description: partial contains 5.8S ribosomal RNA and internal transcribed spacer 2
Rfam family: 5.8S ribosomal RNA (bases 1-133)
Source: RNAcentral
UGGCUCUCGCAUCGAUGAAGAACGCAGCGAAAUGCGAUAAGUAAUGUGAAUUGCAGAAUUCAGUGAAUCAUCGAAUCUUUGAACGCACCUUGCGCUCCUUGGUAUUCCGAGGAGCAUGCCUGUUUGAGUGUCUUGAAGUCAUCAACUCCCACCGUUUUGUGCGGUGGAGCGGUUGGAGCUGGGGGAUGCUGCCCGUCUGCGGCGGCUCCCCUCAAAUGUGUCGGUUGGGCCAAAGGGUCAAACUCGAAAGGGGUGUUGUAACAUCCUCGCUCCCUUCGAGUCCUGUCGGCGCCCCUCCUCGACUCAGCCUCCCUCGCGGUUGGCGGUCAACUAACAUUGAAAUCUGACCUCAAAUCAGGUAGGACUACCCGCUGA